RNAcentral lists this ribosomal RNA (420 nucleotides) under uncultured ammonia-oxidizing beta proteobacterium. RNAcentral describes it as "bacterial SSU rRNA". It matches the Rfam family "Bacterial small subunit ribosomal RNA", at positions 196 to 597 of the family's 1533-position model. Lineage: Bacteria; Pseudomonadati; Pseudomonadota; Betaproteobacteria. The record is from RNAcentral.
UGGGAGGAAAGCAGGGGAUCGUAAGACCUUGCGCUUUUGGAGCGGCCGAUGUCUGAUUAGCUAGUUGGUGGGGUAAUGGCCUACCAAAGCUUCGAUCAGUAGCUGGUCUGAGAGGACGGCCAGCCACACUGGGACUGAGACACGGCCCAGACUCCUACGGGAGGCAGCAGUGGGGAAUUUUGGACAAUGGGCGCAAGCCUGAUCCAGCCAUGCCGCGUGAGUGAAGAAGGCCUUCGGGUUGUAAAGCUCUUUCAGCCGGGAAGAAAAGGCUGCGAUUAAUAAUCGCAGUUCAUGACGGUACCGGAAGAAGAAGCACCGGCUAACUACGUGCCAGCAGCCGCGGUAAUACGUAGGGUGCGAGCGUUAAUCGGAAUUACUGGGCGUAAAGGGUGCGCAGGCGGUCUUGUAAGUCAGAUGUGA